AAGUCGUAACAAGGUUUCCGUAGGUGAACCUGCGGAAGGAUCAUUAACAAUUCUAUUCCAAAUUUACACUUUGUGAACUGACCUCUGGCUGGGUUGCGGUCGCUUAAACGUCCCGCAGAGGUAAUACGUACGUAAGUGUUGCUCUCUGAGCUCACUCACUACAUUGACUAUUUUGUUUGACUAUAUGCGUAUAUCGUGGGUAACAAAUACAACUUUUAACAGUGGAUCUCUUGGCUCCU
RNAcentral lists this unclassified non-coding RNA (239 nucleotides) under fungal sp. RNAcentral's name for it is "partial internal transcribed spacer region". The stretch from base 1 to 46 matches the Rfam family "Eukaryotic small subunit ribosomal RNA", at positions 1786 to 1831 of the family's 1831-position model. Lineage: Eukaryota; Fungi. The record is from RNAcentral.